This 291-nucleotide long non-coding RNA is filed under the name Elaeis guineensis (African oil palm). RNAcentral describes it as "long non-coding RNA (EGUI_LNC016381)". The record is from RNAcentral. Lineage: Eukaryota; Viridiplantae; Streptophyta; Magnoliopsida; Arecales; Arecaceae.
UCCGAAUUGAUCACCGUCCUUAUGAUGAUAUUAUGACCAGGAGCAUUUAGGAAUUAAAUACAUAUCUCUAAUUCUCAACACUUUGAGAAUAUAUUUUGAAUUAUUAAUUUUAUGGAUGAUUUAAAGACACAUCACAUUUAAAGAAAAAAUAAACUUAUCCUUUUUAUUGAUCAAAUCAAUGCAUUAAGUAUAAAAUUAUGUCCUAGCUUUAUUAUAAUGAGUCAGCCAUAUUGACUUCUAAGACAUACAUCCAACAAUCUUUCUCUUGGACUAAAGCCAAUUGAUCACUAA